CCACUGGUAUGUACUGGUCUCACUGAUUCCUCCUCCUGAUGAGCCGUAAUGCCAUUAAUUUGGUGUUGUGAGGAAUCUGGACUGUUACUUUGAAAAAUUAGAGUGUUUAAAGCAGGCUAACGCUUGAAUACAUUAGCAUGGAAUAAUGAAAUAGGACGUUCGAUCUUAUUUUAGUUGGUUUCUUAAGAUUGACGUAAUGAUUAAUAGGGAUAGUUGGGGGCAUUAGUAUUCAAUUGUCAGAGGUGAAAUUCUUGGAUUUAUUGAAGACUAACUACUGCGAAAGCAUUUGCCAAGGAUGUUUUCAUUAAUCAAGAACGAAAGUUAGGGGAUCGAAGACGAUCAGAUACCGUCGUAGUCUUAACCAUAAACUAUGCCGACUAGGGAUCGGAUGAUGUUAAUUUUUUAAUGACUCAUUCGGCGCCUUACG
RNAcentral lists this ribosomal RNA (427 nucleotides) under uncultured Glomus. Its description in RNAcentral is "SSU rRNA". It matches the Rfam family "Eukaryotic small subunit ribosomal RNA", at positions 665 to 1092 of the family's 1831-position model. Lineage: Eukaryota; Fungi; Glomeromycota; Glomeromycetes; Glomerales; Glomeraceae. The record is from RNAcentral.